UCACACGUGCUACAAUGGGUGGUACAAAGAGAAGCCAACUCGCGAGAGCGCGCCAAUCUCAAAAAGCCAUCCUCAGUUCGGAUUGGAGUCUGCAACUCGACUCCAUGAAGUUGGAAUCGCUAGUAAUCGCGGAUCAGCAUGCCGCGGUGAAUACGUUCCCGGGCCUU
RNAcentral lists this ribosomal RNA (167 nucleotides) under uncultured Smithella sp. RNAcentral's name for it is "partial 16S ribosomal RNA". It matches the Rfam family "Bacterial small subunit ribosomal RNA", at positions 1216 to 1382 of the family's 1533-position model. The record is from RNAcentral. Lineage: Bacteria; Pseudomonadati; Thermodesulfobacteriota; Syntrophia; Syntrophales; Smithellaceae.